This 323-nucleotide ribosomal RNA is filed under the name uncultured Chloroflexota bacterium. RNAcentral describes it as "bacterial SSU rRNA". It matches the Rfam family "Bacterial small subunit ribosomal RNA", at positions 28 to 351 of the family's 1533-position model. The record is from RNAcentral. Lineage: Bacteria; Bacillati; Chloroflexota.
GAUGAACGCUGGCGGCGUGCUUAAUACAUGCAAGUCGAACGAAUUGCUUUUCUUCGGAUUAGCAGUUAGUGGCGUCCGGGUGAGUAACACGUGGGUGACCUGCCCCGAAGUGGGGAAUAACUACCCGAAAGGGUUGCUAAUUCCGCAUGUGCUCGGAGAUUUCAUUUUUCCGAGUAAAGUCGUAAGGCGCUUUGGGAGGGGCCCGCGGCCGAUUAGCUAGUUGGUAGGGUAAUGGCCUACCAAGGCGAAGAUCGGUAGCUGGUCUGAGAGGAUGAUCAGCCACACUGGCACUGAAACACGGGCCAGACUCCUACGGGAGGCAG